This 449-nucleotide ribosomal RNA is filed under the name uncultured bacterium. RNAcentral's name for it is "bacterial SSU rRNA". It matches the Rfam family "Bacterial small subunit ribosomal RNA", at positions 29 to 524 of the family's 1533-position model. The record is from RNAcentral.
AACGAACGCUGGCGGCAUGCCUAACACAUGCAAGUCGAACGAAGUCUUCGGACUUAGUGGCGCACGGGUGCGUAACGCGUGGGAAUCUGCCCUUGGGUGCGGAAUAACUUCUCGAAAGGGAUGCUAAUACCGCAUAAUGUCGUAAGACCAAAGAUUUAUCGCCCAAGGAUGAGCCCGCGUAAGAUUAGCUAGUUGGUGGGGUAAAAGCCUACCAAGGCGACGAUCUUUAGCUGGUCUGAGAGGAUGAUCAGCCACACUGGGACUGAGACACGGCCCAGACUCCUACGGGAGGCAGCAGUGGGGAAUAUUGGACAAUGGGCGAAAGCCUGAUCCAGCAAUGCCGCGUGAGUGAUGAAGGCCCUAGGGUUGUAAAGCUCUUUUACCAGGGAUGAUAAUGACAGUACCUGGAGAAUAAGCUCGGCUAACUCCGUGCCAGCAGCCGCGGUAAU